RNAcentral lists this non-coding RNA (23 nucleotides) under Arabidopsis thaliana (thale cress). Lineage: Eukaryota; Viridiplantae; Streptophyta; Magnoliopsida; Brassicales; Brassicaceae. The record is from RNAcentral.
CAACUCACCUGCCGAAUCAACUA